GAGGGGAUGGCUCAAGUGGUGGAGCACCUGCUUAGCAUGCACGAGGUCCUGGGUUCAAUCCCUAGUACCUCCU
Molecule: transfer RNA, 73 nt
Organism: Camelus ferus (Wild Bactrian camel)
Lineage: Eukaryota; Metazoa; Chordata; Mammalia; Artiodactyla; Camelidae
Rfam family: tRNA
About the family: Transfer RNA (tRNA) molecules are approximately 80 nucleotides in length.
Source: Rfam